RNAcentral lists this ribosomal RNA (460 nucleotides) under uncultured bacterium. RNAcentral describes it as "partial 16S ribosomal RNA". It matches the Rfam family "Bacterial small subunit ribosomal RNA", at positions 338 to 795 of the family's 1533-position model. The record is from RNAcentral.
CCUACGGGUGGCAGCAGUGAGGAAUAUUGGUCAAUGGACGAGAGUCUGAACCAGCCAAGUAGCGUGAAGGAUGACUGCCCUAUGGGUUGUAAACUUCUUUUAUAUGGGAAUAAAAUGUUCCACGUGUGGGAUUUUGUAUGUACCAUAUGAAUAAGGAUCGGCUAACUCCGUGCCAGCAGCCGCGGUAAUACGGAGGAUCCGAGCGUUAUCCGGAUUUAUUGGGUUUAAAGGGAGCGUAGGUGGAUUGUUAAGUCAGUUGUGAAAGUUUGCGGCUCAACCGUGAAAUUGCAGUUGAAACUGGCAGUCUUGAGUACAGUAGAGGUGGGCGGAAUGCGUGGUGUAGCGGUGAAAUGCUUAGAUAUCACGAAGAACUCCGAUUGCGAAGGCAGUUCACUGGACUGCAACUGACACUGAGGCUCGAAAGUGUGGGUAUCAAACAGGAUUAGAUACCCCUGUAGUC